Ictalurus punctatus (channel catfish) is the source of this 2502-nucleotide long non-coding RNA. Lineage: Eukaryota; Metazoa; Chordata; Actinopteri; Siluriformes; Ictaluridae. The record is from Ensembl.
UGUGUGUGUUGCAGUAGGAUAGCUUUGUGUCUCCUUAUCAGAGAGGGGGCGAUACUGCGCUACAGACAGCCGCUAUAGAGACUCAAGGGCUCUUACUACCGAGACCUGAUGGUGGUUUGACAGUGUUGCUUGAUCAAGACGUGAUUAUACACGAUUAUGCUUUUGGAUAUGUGCCUUUUAAUAUGUCAUCGUUUAAAUACUAGGACGUGUCGAAUAAUAAGAUGUAGAUCAGACAGAGUAGACGUCCGUCCAUCGCGCCCGGCAAUCUGAAUCAUCACAGGGAUUCGUGACACGGAUUCUGCUGGAGGAAAAAAAAUAUAUAUCUAUAAAUAUAUAUUAUAUAUGGCCACGGCAUCGAGACAUUAGAAACUCCUCUGUUUCAAAUAAACCCCCAUCCUGGACCUCUGACUGGACCAGAGGCCUGUCAAUCAAGCAAUCAGAGGAUACAUGGACUGCCUUCAAGCAGGAAGUUGUCAGUAGAGAAACAGAGGAGUGCUGGUUUUCGACUGCUGUGGAAAAAAUGCACCUCACACACUCAUCUCUUGUUACUGUGCCAAAUGUGUUUUUAGAGGCCUUUCCCAAUCUAAAACCCUCCUGUGGAGAUUCUGACUGCAUUCCCACAUUGACAGAGCUACUGCAAGGAUCUGCAGCAGAAAACAGACCUGAAAAAAAUGGGCAGAGUCUAUUGGACAGCCUUCAGGAUCUGGACCGCAUGAUUGGUGUGAAAUACAAGGUGGCAGAGUCUCUGUCCCGAAAGCUUCUCCUGCAGUCACUGAACCUGAGGACCCUGAACCCUGAGCAUGCAGGCGGCCGUAAACAAAACAUGGCAAGGUUUUCACCGAACCUUCCCACGUCCAACCAGCAGUUAGCAGCUAAUGCUAAAAGAAGACUCUCUUAUGACAUCAACAGAAACAUCAUGUCAUAGUUUCUCCCAACUUUAAAUCACUCUAUUCUUCAACAGCUGGAGAAAGAAUAACUUCAGAUGAAAACAAGCAGAUUUUUUCCCCCUUAAGCCUGUGCCCUCUGUUCCCGCUGCAGUCACACGGAAGAUUAGUUGUUGUAUAUUUAUCUCUGUUAGUAUUUUUGUCCAUUUCCCAACAAUCUAUUUAAAAUCAAAACACAUCACAUGCAUCCUGAUGUUGCUAAAAGACAUUCCUGGGUCAACAAGGAUCAGCUUGAUCAUAUGACAUUACCACAUUUACCUGAGACUAAUUAACUAUAUAGUGAACUUUGCUACUGGUUUUGAUUACACAAUAAAAGCAUUUACCUAAUGUUAGCUUGCUAGUACUUAACAUCAGAUAUCUAAUGCUGGGGAGGGAGCACUGAUGUUAGUUAGGCCAACUACUUAGCUGGUUAACUUAUCGAACGUUGCCAGACUAAUAUUAUUUCUUUCAUUCAUUCAUUCAUUCAUUCAUUCAUUCAUCUAUAUCCGGUGUCAUGGUGGAUUUGGAGCCGAUCCCAAGAACACUGGGCACUGGGUAAGAAUCCAUCACCGGACACCUUGCACACACAUUCAAACAUUCAUUCACACCUAUGGGCAAUUUAGCAUAUCCAAUCCACCUACCAGCAUGUUUUUGGAAGGUGGGAGGAAACUGGAAAACCCAGAGGAAAACCAUGUGGACACAGGAAGAACAGAAACUCUACACAAACAGUAACAAAUGCUGUAUUAUGUCAUUACAUUAUGCCUGGACAAUUGAAAGCACAGGUUAGGGAUAAUUUCACAUAUUACUCCCUUAUUGACCCAGGGAUUCAUUUUCUCAUUUAGCAGAUACGUUUAUCUGUAGUAAAUUGCAAGCAUAGAUAUAGAAGAAGAACAAGAGCAACAAUAACAACAACAAUAAGAACAAUAAUUAUUAAUUAUUAAUUAUUAAAUAUUUAAUAUUAUUAAUAAUUAUUAAAUAAUUUUUAAGGGCUCAGUAGCAUCACUCUGAACUUAGCUUUCAAGUAAUCAAUAAGGAACCUUAACCUAUUAUUACUCCCAGUGUGGACAAUAAGGAUAUUUGGACAUUAAAAUUAUAUAACAUUGAGCUGAAACAAAAUUUACUAGUCCUGUGCCAAAACGUGAUCCAUACUGUUACACUUUACAUUUUCUUCUUUGUAAUGACGUUUCAAUUGUUCUGGUUCUUGUCUCUCAAAUUACAUUUGUUUCAGAUUAAAUGUUUGUUGUCCAAAUUAUCAUCCUAGCUCACUGUUCAAUGAAAUGAAUGAUGAAUAUUUGGAUUUUUUUUCAGACCAUUAAAAUCUAACUGCUUUUAUUUUCUUUAUUUUUCAUUUGAAUCAGACAAUUACAAUGUGCCAUUUUUACCAAAUGUGAAAUUCUGAAGAAUAAAAACUAUUUUCUCAGUUUGAUGAUCAUGUACUCCUGUCAACAUGUUAAUAAUAAUGAUGAUGAUAAUAAAAAAAAGUAAUCAUUGGAUUUGAGCUUGUUUCUGCAAAUGGCUGAUUGUGGUUGCAAAGACACAUAACACUAUGGUUAUUUAUCACAUACUGAUUUUUCCCAGU